This 253-nucleotide ribosomal RNA is filed under the name uncultured bacterium. Its description in RNAcentral is "partial 16S ribosomal RNA". It matches the Rfam family "Bacterial small subunit ribosomal RNA", at positions 524 to 776 of the family's 1533-position model. The record is from RNAcentral.
UACGUAGGGUGCGAGCGUUGUCCGGAAUUAUUGGGCGUAAAGGGCUCGUAGGCGGUUUGUCACGUCGGGAGUGAAAACUCGGGGCUUAACCCCGAGCCUGCUUCUGAUACGGGCUGACUAGAGGUAUGCAGGGGAGAACGGAAUUCCUGGUGUAGCGGUGAAAUGCGCAGAUAUCAGGAGGAACACCGGUGGCGAAGGCGGUUCUCUGGGCAUUACCUGACGCUGAGGAGCGAAAGUGUGGGGAGCGAACAGG